GACAGAGGCCCCACGCGUUAGGCGGAAUCACUGGGCUUAAAGCGUGUGUAGGCGGAUCGUUAAGUGUCUUGUGAAAUCCCACGGCUCACCCGUGGAACUGCUGGGCAUACUGGCGAUCUUGGGCCAACUAGGGGCAGCCGGAACAAGCGGUGGAGCGGUGAAAUGCGUAGAUAUCGCUUGGAACGCCGAAGGUGAAAACAGGCUGCUGGGGUUGCGCCGACGCUGAGACACGAAAGCCAGGGGAGCAAACGGG
Molecule: ribosomal RNA, 253 nt
Filed under: uncultured bacterium
Lineage: Bacteria
Description: partial 16S ribosomal RNA
Rfam family: Bacterial small subunit ribosomal RNA
Source: RNAcentral